Triticum dicoccoides is the source of this 904-nucleotide long non-coding RNA. RefSeq lists it as uncharacterized. Lineage: Eukaryota; Viridiplantae; Streptophyta; Magnoliopsida; Poales; Poaceae. The record is from RefSeq and is a predicted model, not a curated record. The transcript has 2 exons.
AUCCAUCCUUUCCCUCAGCCGCCGCCGCCACUCUCUCGCUUCCCCUCGGGAUCUCCUGCCGAUUCAAUCCCCCCGACCACUUCCCUGGUUUUCAGCGCCGCCUAAUCACAACAGCCUACCACCAUCCUCCGCCCGAGACCCUGGUCGUCGCUCCCAAGUUCCUCUGCCUGCGCUCUCUCCGCAGCCGCCCGAGGACGCGCCUCCUCGUCCCCGCACAGCCCGGAAUGAGUGGGAGAUGUCAUGGUCGCCCGCGGAAGCUCCGUCAUCGUCGGGAUCGUUCCUCCGGCCUCGGCCCCGGAUCCGCGCAUCCUUGACGUUUCCCGCGCCUCUGCCUGUGUUGCUGCGUCGCCAGAGGUCGCCUCACGACGCCAAGUUCGCCUUCACCGCUCCCCGGCAACAACGCUGUUACCUCUCCUGCGCUGCUUCUCCUGCCCGAGCUCCUCAAGUCAAGCCGGAGAUCCCUCGCAUCAAGCCGCCGCCGCUUCGAUCGCGCGACGCUGCGCCUUCGCCAAGCUCCGCCAUCGCGCCCUGCUUCCCCUGUUUCGAGCAGACGAACAAGGCAGCCAUGGCCCUGUUUGACCGAACCGGACACAACCACGAGCGAACGCGCCCUUCCUUCGCCUUCGUUGACCGCGCCGCCCCAGCCCAGAUCCAGCCAGGCCCAGUCGGGCCAGAUCCGCACCGCCCUCGCUGGCCUUCCUCUUCACCAGCGGGCCAAGCCCAUGGGUUAGAACGCGCCCAGCACCUCCCCUGUUCCUGUUGGGCCAGGAAGAUUCGGCCCGUACUGUUUUUUUCCGUUGCUGCGAAUUUAGCUAAUUUCCACAGGAUUGCUGUUUUACAGAAAAGCCCUUGUUGAUCAUGCAUUUAAUAAUUCCACAACCGUGCAUCGGAUUGAAAUGUUUUA